UGGGGAAUUUUGGACAAUGGGGGAAACCCUGAUCCAGCCAUCCCGCGUGUGCGAUGAAGGCCUUCGGGUUGUAAAGCACUUUUGGCAGGAAAGAAACGUCGCGGGUUAAUACCCCGCGAAACUGACGGUACCUGCAGAAUAAGCACCGGCUAACUACGUGCCAGCAGCCGCGGUAAUACGUAGGGUGCAAGCGUUAAUCGGAAUUACUGGGCGUAAAGCGUGCGCAGGCGGUUCGGAAAGAAAGAUGUGAAAUCCCAGAGCUUAACUUUGGAACUGCAUUUUUAACUACCGGGCUAGAGUGUGUCAGAGGGGAGGUGGAAUUCCGCGUGUAGCAUGAAAUGCGUAGAUAUGCGGAGGAACACCGAUGGGCGAAGGCAGCCUCCUGGGAUAACACUGACGCUCAUGCACG
Molecule: ribosomal RNA, 409 nt
Filed under: uncultured bacterium
Lineage: Bacteria
Description: partial 16S ribosomal RNA
Rfam family: Bacterial small subunit ribosomal RNA
Source: RNAcentral